Molecule: ribosomal RNA, 428 nt
Filed under: uncultured bacterium
Lineage: Bacteria
Description: bacterial SSU rRNA
Rfam family: Bacterial small subunit ribosomal RNA
Source: RNAcentral
GUAGGGAAUAUUGCGCAAUGGGGGAAACCCUGACGCAGCGACGCCGCGUGAGUGAUGAAGGCCUUCGGGUCGUAAAGCUCUGUUGCAGGGGAAUAAAAAAAUGAAGGUACCCUGUGAGGAAGGAUCGGCUAACUUCGUGCCAGCAGCCGCGGUAAGACGAGGGAUCCUAGCGUUGCUCGGAAUCAUUGGGCGUAAAGAGGGCGUAGGUGGCUUGGUAAGUCAGGUGUGAAAGCCCAGGGCUCAACCCUGGAAGUGCAUUUGAUACUGCUGAGCUUGAGUGUCGGAGAGGUUACCGGAAUACCUGGUGUAGUGGUGAAAUACGUAGAUAUCAGGUGGAACACCGGAGGCGAAGGCGGGUAACUGGACGAACACUGACACUGAGGCCCGAAAGCGUGGGGAUCAAACAGGAUUAGAAACCCUAGUAGUCC